RNAcentral lists this ribosomal RNA (465 nucleotides) under uncultured bacterium. RNAcentral describes it as "partial 16S ribosomal RNA". It matches the Rfam family "Bacterial small subunit ribosomal RNA", at positions 28 to 507 of the family's 1533-position model. The record is from RNAcentral.
GACGAACGCUGGCGGCGUGCUUAACACAUGCAAGUCGUACGGUAAGGCCCUUUCGGGGGUCCACGAGUGGCGCACGGGUGAGUAACACGUGAGUAACCUGCCCACAACUUUGGGAUAACGCUAGGAAACUGGUGCUAAUACUGGAUAUGUGCUCCUGCUGCAUGGUGGGGGUUGGAAAGCUCCGGCGGUUGUGGAUGGACUCGCGGCCUAUCAGCUUGUUGGUGGGGUAGUGGCCUACCAAGGCGGCGACGGGUAGCCGGCCUGAGAGGGUGACCGGCCACAUUGGGACUGAGAUACGGCCCAGACUCCUACGGGAGGCAGCAGUGGGGAAUAUUGCACAAUGGGCGCAAGCCGGAUGCGGCAACGCCGCGGGCGGGAUGACGGCCUUCGGGUUGGAAACCGCUUUCAGCAGGGACGAAGCUUUUUGUGACGGUACCUGCAGAAGAAGCACCGGCUAACUACGUG